UCGCAUCGAUGAAGAACGCAGCGAAAUGCGAUAAGUAAUGUGAAUUGCAGAAUUCAGUGAAUCAUCGAAUCUUUGAACGCACCUUGCGCUCCUUGGUAUUCCGAGGAGCAUGCCUGUUUGAGUGUCAUUAACAUAUCAACCCUUCCAGCGUCUUUAGAGGCUGGUUUGUGGCUUGGAUGCUGGGGGUAUUUUGCUGGCCUCUCAAGGUCUGCUCCCCUGAAAUGCAUUAGCGGAACCGUU
RNAcentral lists this ribosomal RNA (240 nucleotides) under Lepiota acutesquamosa. Its description in RNAcentral is "5.8S ribosomal RNA". The stretch from base 1 to 127 matches the Rfam family "5.8S ribosomal RNA", at positions 28 to 154 of the family's 154-position model. From Rfam's summary of the family: 5.8S ribosomal RNA (5.8S rRNA) is a component of the large subunit of the eukaryotic ribosome. Lineage: Eukaryota; Fungi; Basidiomycota; Agaricomycetes; Agaricales; Agaricaceae. The record is from RNAcentral.